This 720-nucleotide ribosomal RNA is filed under the name Pseudostreblus indicus. RNAcentral's name for it is "eukaryotic LSU rRNA". The stretch from base 283 to 438 matches the Rfam family "5.8S ribosomal RNA". The record is from RNAcentral. Lineage: Eukaryota; Viridiplantae; Streptophyta; Magnoliopsida; Rosales; Moraceae.
GGAACAAGGUUUCCGUAGGUGAACCUGCGGAAGGAUCAUUGUCGAAACCUGCCAAGCAGAAAGACCCGCGAACCCGUUAUGACACUCGGGGGGCGAGGGGUGCAAGAUUUGGCCCCGGACCCUCCACGUCGAGUGCGCGUGGCCUUGCCCCGUGCACUCGUCCUUAAACGAACCCCGGCGCGUAAUGCGUCAAGGAAAAAUAACGAAACGAGCCUAGCCGCCGUGGCCCCGUAAGCGGUGCAUGCCGCGGCAGUCGGUGCGUGAUUGGUUUAAGUCUAUAACGACUCUCGGCAACGGAUAUCUCGGCUCUCGCAUCGAUGAAGAACGUAGCGAAAUGCGAUACUUGGUGUGAAUUGCAGAAUCCCGUGAACCAUCGAGUCUUUGAACGCAAGUUGCGCCCGAAGCCAUUAGGCCGAGGGCACGUCUGCCUGGGCGUCACACACCGUUGCCCCCUCCCAAACCCCUGUCACUCCCCGUCGGGUGCACACGGACAAUGAGGGGGCGGAUGAUGGCCUCCCGUGCGCGUUUUGCCUCGCGGUUGGCCCAAAAUCGAGUCCUCGGUCACGACGUCGUGGCAAUAGGUGGUUGUCGAAGAUUCGGUGCCCCGUCACGUGCGUCGGACACGCAUCGAGACUCCGAGAGACCCCAACGCACCCCUUCUUCGGUGCUUCCAACGCGACCCCAGGUCAGGCGGGGCUACCCGCUGAGUUUAAGCAUUAA